AUGCCAAGGCAACCGCCCGCUCCGUGGGUGAGCACCAACGGUGCACCAGGCUGGACCCUCGGCUCCGACAACCGCUGCAAACCAUGCUGGGCCUUCGGCUCCGGCUCCGGCCGUCGCCGACGACUACAUCGUAACGACAACUCCGCCGCCAUCUGUCUUCACCAUCCCUCCGAUGGAUUGGCUCCUUGGAGGUCCAUCGGCGCCAUUCCUCGGAGAAGAAGAGAUGUUCCCUUGCGAACUCGCGCCGCCACCUCUGCCCCCGUACUGCGUGCGGCACGGGUUCGAAUCGUGUCCAUCGCGUACGGCGCACCGCCGCGGAAGCCGUCUCUAACGCCAUCAGACGAACUGCCGGAGCACUUCAUCCCUCCUGGAUACGGCCCCGUCCCGGAUCUCCCAUCCCCGACGCCGGCGGCAGCGGGAACCGGCGGCUACCCCUUCAUCCCCGACUUGAACAUCAAGAUUAAGGUUGAAGAAGAGGAGAUAGAGGAUCAGGGCUCGUCGUCGACGCCACCACCUUCAUCACCGGCGACACCACCUCCUCCUCCGGCACCGCCUCUUCCUCCGACGCCUCCGCCGGAAGCCUGCCGGAUCCCGCGCCAAUUCGCCGCGGCCAUGGCGCAGAACCGUGCAGCCCUUCGUGGCGCGUGGUGGCCGGAUGCCCUUGGCCUCACCGGCGCCCCUGGGGCGAGCAGCAGCGGAGCAGGCCGUGCUGCGAAGCGGGGCCCACCUCGCUUCCAUUGA
RNAcentral lists this ribosomal RNA (741 nucleotides) under Triticum aestivum (bread wheat). RNAcentral describes it as "partial small subunit ribosomal RNA". Lineage: Eukaryota; Viridiplantae; Streptophyta; Magnoliopsida; Poales; Poaceae. The record is from RNAcentral.